This 789-nucleotide non-coding RNA is filed under the name Panesthia tryoni tryoni. RNAcentral describes it as "12S ribosomal RNA". The stretch from base 376 to 782 matches the Rfam family "Microsporidia small subunit ribosomal RNA", at positions 752 to 1303 of the family's 1311-position model. The record is from RNAcentral. Lineage: Eukaryota; Metazoa; Arthropoda; Insecta; Blattodea; Blaberidae.
UAGAAGUUUUAUUCUUGCUUAAUUACUUAUUUUAAUUUAAUGUUAUAUGCAAGAUUUUAUGUUUUAAUAAUUUCUUAAUGAAUUAAUUAAAUUAUUUGGUGCAGUAAUGAAUAUUAAAUAAUAAAGGGAAUUUUGAUUUAGUUAUUUUUGAUAGUGUUGAUUAAAUAUGUGCCAGCAGUCGCGGUUAUACAUAGGACAUAAAUAAGUAUUUUUAGUUAUAUAGUUUAUUUAUUUAUUUUAUUUUAUUUGAUAAUUUUUGGGUAAAAUUUAAAUUUUUGUUUUUGUUUUAAGUUUAUAUUAAAUGAGGCUGUGAAAUCUAAAUUAUUUAAACUAGGAUUAGAUACCCUAUUAUUUUGGAUUUAAAAUUUUAAACUUGAGUAGUAUUAGGUAUGGUCUUGAAACUUAAAGAAUUUGGCGGUAUUUUAGUCUAGUUAGAGGAAUCUGUUCCGUUAUCGAUAAUCCACGUUGAACCUUACUUAAUAUAAUUUAAUAUGUAUACCGCCGUUUAUUUGAAGAUCUUUUUAGGGUUAAUUUUCUUUAAAUUUUAAUUAAUUUUAAUUCAGGUCAAGGUGCAGUUGAUGAUUGAGUGGUGAUGGAUUACAAUAUUUAAAAAGUAAACGAAUUAAUAAAUGAAAAUAUUUUAUGAAGGUGGAUUUAAUAGUAAUUAAUAAUAAGAAUUAUUUUUAUGAUUUUAGCUCUAAAAUGUGUACACAUCGCCCGUCACUCUCGUUAUUAAGAUGAGAUAAGUCGUAACAAAGUAGGUGUACCGGAAGGUGUAGCUAGAUUGAU